ACAUGCAGUCGAGCGGUAGAGAGAGCUUGCUUCUCUUGAGAGCGGCGGACGGGUGAGUAAUGCCUAGGAAUCUGCCUGGUAGUGGGGGAUAACGUUCGGAAACGGACGCUAAUACCGCAUACGUCCUACGGGAGAAAGCAGGGGACCUUCGGGCCUUGCGCUAUCAGAUGAGCCUAGGUCGGAUUAGCUAGUUGGUGAGGUAAUGGCUCACCAAGGCGACGAUCCGUAACUGGUCUGAGAGGAUGAUCAGUCACACUGGAACUGAGACACGGUCCAGACUCCUACGGGAGGCAGCAGUGGGGAAUAUUGGACAAUGGGCGAAAGCCUGAUCCAGCCAUGCCGCGUGUGUGAAGAAGGUCUUCGGAUUGUAAAGCACUUUAAGUUGGGAGGAAGGCAGUUACCUAAUACGUGAUUGUUUUGACGUUACCGACAGAUAAGCACGGCUAACUCUGUGCCAGCAGCGCGGUAAUACAGAGGUGCAAGCGUUAUCGGAUUACUGGGCGAAAGCGCGCGUAGGUGGUUGUAAGUGGAUGUGAAUCCCGGCUCACCUGGGACUGCUUCAAACUGACUGACUAGAG
This 578-nucleotide ribosomal RNA is filed under the name bacterium amp-w-52. Its description in RNAcentral is "bacterial SSU rRNA". It matches the Rfam family "Bacterial small subunit ribosomal RNA", at positions 53 to 646 of the family's 1533-position model. The record is from RNAcentral.